RNAcentral lists this transfer RNA (68 nucleotides) under Sphenodon punctatus (tuatara). RNAcentral's name for it is "tRNA-Asp". The record is from RNAcentral. Lineage: Eukaryota; Metazoa; Chordata; Lepidosauria; Sphenodontia; Sphenodontidae.
AGGGCUUUAGUAAAAAAUUAUACGUCCUUGUCAUGGACGAGUCAAAGGCUAGACCCUUUAAGCCCCGC